Molecule: ribosomal RNA, 378 nt
Filed under: uncultured bacterium
Lineage: Bacteria
Description: bacterial SSU rRNA
Rfam family: Bacterial small subunit ribosomal RNA
Source: RNAcentral
GAUGAACGCUAGCGGCAGGCCUAAUACAUGCAAGUCGAGGGGCAGCGCGGUAGCAAUACUGGCGGCGACCGGCGCACGGGUGCGUAACACGUAUGCAACCUACCUUCAACUGGAGGAUAGCCCGGGGAAACUCGGAUUAAUACUCCAUAACACAGGGAUCCCGCAUGGGAAUAUUGUUAAAGCUACGGCGGUUGAAGAUGGGCAUGCGUUCGAUUAGCUAGUUGGUGUAGGUAACGGCUCACCAAGGCUACGAUCGAUAGGGGGUCUGAGAGGAUGAUCCCCCACACCUGGUACUGAGAUACGGACCAGACUCCUACGGGAGGCAGCAGUAGGGAAUAUUGGUCAAUGGGCGCAAGCCUGAACCAGCUAUGCCGCGUG